AAAUAGUUGCUCAGAAACCAGGAGGAAACUCUGACUAGGAGCAAAUCUGAUGGUGAUUGGUGGGGAAACUAAAGUUCUACCGCUGCUACGUGAACCGCUGAGGAAAACCAGUUUUCAGCUAGGGAAUAAACACAAAUUCUAUUGAGGAAUAAACAUUCCGCAGGGGACUGAAUCAACCCACUCUGUUGGCUACCCUACCGGGGAAUAGCGGAAAAUAAUGGAUGAAUGCUAAAAAUGUUGUUGAGGAUGAAAGAGGAAUUGCGCCUACUGCUCGGGGAGG
This 280-nucleotide long non-coding RNA is filed under the name Lathyrus oleraceus (garden pea). RNAcentral describes it as "Pisum sativum (pea) long non-coding RNA (PSAT_LNC010744)". The record is from RNAcentral. Lineage: Eukaryota; Viridiplantae; Streptophyta; Magnoliopsida; Fabales; Fabaceae.